CCCAGACUCCUACGGGAGGCAGCAGUGGGGAAUAUUGCACAAUGGGGGAAACCCUGAUGCAGCGACGCCGCGUGAGUGAAGAAGUAUUUCGGUAUGUAAAGCUCUAUCAGCAGGGAAGAAAAUGACGGUACCUGAUUAAGAAGCCCCGGCUAACUACGUGCCAGCAGCCGCGGUAAUACGUAGGGGGCAAGCGUUAUCCGGAUUUACUGGGUGUAAAGGGUGCGCAGGUGGCAGGGCAAGUCAGAUGUGAAAGCCCGGGGCUCAACCCCGGUAUUGCAUUUGAAACUGUCCGGUUAGAGUGCAGGAGAGGCAAGCGGAAUUCCUAGUGUAGCGGUGAAAUGCGUAGAUAUUAGGAGGAACACCAGUGGCGAAGGCGGCUUACUGGACUGUAACUGACGUUGAGGCUCGAAAGCGUGGGGAGCAAACAGGAUUAGAUACCCUUGUA
This 445-nucleotide ribosomal RNA is filed under the name uncultured bacterium. Its description in RNAcentral is "bacterial SSU rRNA". It matches the Rfam family "Bacterial small subunit ribosomal RNA", at positions 330 to 792 of the family's 1533-position model. The record is from RNAcentral.